GAUGAACGCUGGCGGCGUGCCUAAUACAUGCAAGUCGAGCGAACAGACGAGGAGCUUGCUCCUCUGACGUUAGCGGCGGACGGGUGAGUAACACGUGGAUAACCUACCUAUAAGACUGGGAUAACUUCGGGAAACCGGAGCUAAUACCGGAUAAUAUAUUGAACCGCAGGGUUCAAUAGUGAAAGACGGUUUUGCUGUCACUUAUAGAUGGAUCCGCGCCGCAUUAGCUAGUUGGUAAGGUAACGGCUUACCAAGGCGACGAUGCGUAGCCGACCUGAGAGGGUGAUCGGCCACCCUGGAACUGGGACACGGUCCAGACUCCUGCGGGAGGCAGCAGUAGGGAAUCUUCCGCAAUGGGCGAAAGCCUGACGGAGCAACGCCGCGUGAGUGAUGAAGGUCUUCGGAUCGUAAAACUCUGUUAUUAGGGAAGAACAAAUGUGUACGUAACUAUGCACGUCUUGACGGUACCUAAUCAGAAAGCCACGGCUAACUACGUG
RNAcentral lists this ribosomal RNA (497 nucleotides) under uncultured bacterium. Its description in RNAcentral is "partial 16S ribosomal RNA". It matches the Rfam family "Bacterial small subunit ribosomal RNA", at positions 28 to 507 of the family's 1533-position model. The record is from RNAcentral.